Non-coding RNA from Cajanus cajan (pigeon pea), 619 nucleotides. Lineage: Eukaryota; Viridiplantae; Streptophyta; Magnoliopsida; Fabales; Fabaceae. The record is from RefSeq and is a predicted model, not a curated record.
UGGAAAAGAAAACAUACAGAGUGAGAACAGUGAUCAACGCUGUUUCUGCAUCUGUUGUAACAGGAAGCAAAGUUUUGCAAUUGAAGGCAAUUUAGGGAAAGGUUCCAAGGGCAAAGUUUCUGGCCUAUACUACAUGACAUGGGAACCAGAGGAGUAAUUGGGGACAGGUGGUCCAUGAGAAUUCUUUGGGCUUGUGCUUUUGGAAGUGCCGUCAGCCUGUAUAUGGUUGCUGUAGAAAGGCAAAAACAGAACAGGGAGAGGAUGCUGGCUGAAGAAUUGAGGGCAAUGGAGUUAGGGGAAAACAAUGGUGAAAUGGCUGAACUGUGUUACACUAUGAUUAUUUGAAAAAUAUUAGUAUCAUAUUGCAGAUGCAGAAUUUCAGAUUUCUGAAAGGUGUUUCUCCUUAUGAUGUAAAAGGUUUCUGCAUUCAUCCUCUGCCCAUUUGCUUAUGGUAUAAUUUCUUUAAGGAUUGAGCAUUUUCCGGUGGGAAAUAUUCAAGUAGAUUUUCAUUUCAAUUUUCGAAUGUGUUAUGGAAAGGCAGCUUUAUGACUACGUUUUUAACAUUUUAGCAAAUAAACUUGGUAAGUCACUUUUAAGCUCUACGUUUGUUUCAUGGUUU